CACUCGGUGAAAAAAUGGCGCCCAAGGGAAAGAAAACCAAUAGCCCUACUAGCGACAGCGACGAGGACGAAACCUUCUAUUACCGGUAUCCCUCCGCCCCCUCUUCUGACCCGUCGCUGCCGUCGUCUUCACAGUCGCACUUCUCAUCGCAAUCGCACUCACACUCACACUCUUCCACUAAGUCUGGCGGUGGUUCUGGAGGUUUGGUUCCUUCGAAGUCUACUCUCUAUGUUUCCAAUUUCGACUAUUCACUCACUAAUUCCGACCUCCACACUCUCUUCUCCAACUUUGGUAAGAUCGCUCGUGUUACGGUGUUGAAAGAUCGACAGACUCGCAAGUCUCGCGGCGUUGCCUUCGUCCAGUUUAUUUCUCAGGACGACGCGGUGAAGGCCGCGAAACAGAUGCACGGGAAGAUUUUGAAUGGCCGUGUUCUUAAGGCUGCUAUAGCGACUGAUAAUGGUCGUGCCGCUGAGUUUAUAAGGAAGAGGGUUUAUAAGGAUAAGAGUAGGUGCUACGAGUGCGGCGCAAUUGAUGGGCAUUUGUCUUAUGAAUGCCCUAAAAAUCAAUUGGGGCCAAGGGAGCGACCAGAACCGAAGCGGGUAAGAAGGGGUGGAGUUGGUGCUAGGCACGAGGAGGAUUGGGGAUCGGAUGUUGGAGAAGGGUUUGAGGAUGACAAUUGGGCCUCGGUGGUGGACGGAGAUGCAGACCAGAGACUCCUGACUGGCGGUGAGAACAUUGUAGAGAAGAAAAAAAGAGAAGAAAGCAAGUUAUUUCAGUGACGAGAGCGACGAAGAUGAUUAACUGAGCCUGUCUCUUUGGGAAGAGUUUGUAAAAGAUGAGAUAAAGCUUACAGAGUUUAGAUUUUGGGCUGCCGGGUGCGAUAAGUAAUAAUGAGUUACAGGCUACAUUAAGAUAUAUCAAGGUUGGAGACCAAAGUUGAGAGGCUAAAGUCGGUAGUACAAGUUAAAGAUAGGGAGAUUGCAACAGUUACACGAAUAGAAGCCAAAGGUAAGGCUGCUUUUAAAGCUCAAAUUGACAAGCUACAGUAGGAAAAUGUUGAACUCCAGAGAAGGGUUAUUGGCAAUCAGCAAGUAAGAACUCAACAAAUACAUGAGAUGAAGAAGAAAGAAAAGGAGUACAUCAAAUUGCAGGUGAGAACCUACAGGGUAUAGGAAUACCUACAGGAAAGCUGGAUAUGUAUGUUGCUGCUGCUGGCAUAAACCCUCAAAGAUGAAAGAGGCACUAUCAGCAUUGACAUGUACAUGUGAUUUUAGGCAUGAACCAGGAGAGUGAGAGUUUUAGUGUGCCGUGUUUAGAAUUUGCCGAUAUCUUUUUCCCGUUCCAGCAAGUAUUCCUGAUUGUGGGGAUUCUUCCAGUAAUGCUAGAUAUUGGUACUAACAACGAGAAGUUACUUAAUGAUUCUCUUUGAUUUAUUGGAGUUGAGGAGUCCCACAAUCUUUAUGUUCUGUUUGUUUUUCCAUCACUUUUUCAAGGCUGUUCAAUUGGAGUUCCAUCUUCAGAUGGAAGUCGUAUUCUUGGCCUCGGUGACCUUGGAGUUCAGGGAAUAGGAAUACCUAGAUUGGAGGGAGAAGAGUAUCUAUCUAUUGUUGAUGAAUUUAUGGAAGUCGUGGAUACAUGUUGGCCUAAAGCUAUUGUUCAGUUUGAGGAUUUUCAAAUGAAAUGGGCUUUUGAAACAUUACAACGUUAUCGUAAGAGGUUCUGCAUGUUCAACGAUGACAUACAAGAACAAGGAUGAAUAAUCAAUGAAAAAGGAAUGAAGAGGUUUAUCCAUGCAAGCUUCAAACCAAAGCCAAGGAUGUCGAUCCUUCCAGGGGAGUCCAAAGUUCUCCCUUAUUUUUCUCCCUUUAUUUUGAUUUUCAAAAGUUUGCAAUUUUUUAAGUGGGGGUGGGCAAUUGCUUGCAUGUUUAGUCUAAACUUGGAGGUUCAAAUUUUGCCCAAAUUUCAAAAUUUCUAAAAAAAAUUUCCUUACAAUAAUGAGCACUAUACCUUCUUAGAUUACUUAGAUCUUGCAUAAAAAGCAUGACUAGCAACCCUUGAUCACUGAGCUUGGGUUUGUGAUGUAAAAUUCUGAAUGUUGAUGAGUAUAUGUGCUGAAAUUUGAGAAUAAGCUGCCGUGUUUUUUGGUUUAAGCCCAUUUUUAGCGAUAUCUUAUGGAGAUGUGAAUGCAUGAUUGAGAAAAUGGUAUGUGUGUUGUGAAUGCUUGAUUGCAUGCAUAUAAUAAAUAAGUGCAUGGAUACUUUUCUAGCUUUGUCUUCCUUUGUUUCUUUGCCAUGACUUACCUAUGAUGCGCUUAGUCCAAACCUAGCCUAGAUAGAGUUAAAAAAGGAUAGGAGGUACUCUUUAGAAAUUGAGAUGGUUUUAACAAAUUUGUCUUGUCAAACAUGAGUUUGGAGCCUCUUGUCUAGCCACAAUGAACUAAAUCCCUUUAGAAAGGGUGGGCAUUAACAAAUCUUGUUGUCACUUCGAAGGGAGCAGUCAAACUUAGAAACUAAGUGUAGAACCAUAGAAAGGUUACCCCAUCGGUUAUUGUGUGCGUACCAAAGAAAGAAAAGAGAGACUUGCAAAUGUAAAACUUAAGACAGCGAGACAAUUAAGAGCUAAAAAAAACAAAGAACAUAUGCAUUAUACAUCAGAAAAAUCCCAUAAAAAAAUGAAGGGAAACUUCACUUUUGGCCUAACCAAAAGCAGACCACCUACUCUUAGCGUUCUAGACAUAGCAUUGAGUUUGAUGAGGGCUUUGAAAAAGAGGAAUCCUCCCCGUUCCACACUAGGGGAAAAACGAGACUUGUCACUCCGAAGGGAGCAGUCAAACUUAGCAUUGAGUUCAAGGUAUCCUUCUUAGAUUCUUGAAUCAUGACUACAUUAGGACUACAUGAGCACCAUUGUUAUGGAUCAAAAUAAAGUUCCAAAUGUUCAUCCAAUCGUGCCAUCAAAUGUGUCAGAAGGAAAUAUUCAUGUUAGCAUUGGAAAGACGUCAAUAGCAGUGGAAAGAAUUGAAGAAAAAAGUGAAACAAAAGUGAAUGGAGACAGGAAAA
Molecule: RNA transcript, 3056 nt
Organism: Cucumis sativus (cucumber)
Lineage: Eukaryota; Viridiplantae; Streptophyta; Magnoliopsida; Cucurbitales; Cucurbitaceae
Gene name: NAD-dependent malic enzyme 2, mitochondrial-like
Exons: 11
Source: RefSeq, a predicted model, not a curated record